Molecule: ribosomal RNA, 397 nt
Filed under: uncultured bacterium
Lineage: Bacteria
Description: bacterial SSU rRNA
Rfam family: Bacterial small subunit ribosomal RNA
Source: RNAcentral
AAUGAACGCUGGCGGCGCGCCUAAUACGUGCAAGUCGAGCGAGAAGACGUAGCAAUACGUUUGUAAAGCGGCGAACGGGUGAGGAAUACAUGGGUAACCUACCCUCGAGUGGGGAAUAACUAGCCGAAAGGUUAGCUAAUACCGCGUACGCUUCUUGGACUUCGGUUCAGGGAGGAAAGCGAUGCCGAGGGUAUCGCGCUCUUGGAUGGGCUCAUGUCCUAUCAGCUUGUUGGUGAGGUAACGGCUCACCAAGGCUUCGACGGGUAGCUGGUCUGAGAGGACGAUCAGCCACACUGGCACUGCGACACGGGCCAGACUCCUACGGGAGGCAGCAGUAAGGAAUAUUGCGCAAUGGGCGAAAGCCUGACGCAGCGACGCCGCGUGGGGGAGUGAAGGU